UUAAAAAAAGGUGCGAUAUAUGGUGGAGCUAAUGUUGCACCAUAGUCUUUCAAUUUACUAACAUGUUGCUAUCAAUAACUAGACAUUAUAUGUUAUUACCAUUGUUACAUUUAUGGCACGUUUGGUGUGGAGGAUAAGAUUGAAACGAUAAAAUGGGAUGAGAUAGAAUUUGAUUGGAUUAUAAUCGGUGAUGAAUCAUAUUUGUUGUCAUACAAGAUUUUUGGUUAAAUUGUACAUAUCAUUUUUUUCACUAAAGUAAUUAAAAAUAAAU
RNAcentral lists this long non-coding RNA (271 nucleotides) under Citrus x clementina. Its description in RNAcentral is "Citrus clementina (C. clementina) long non-coding RNA (CCLE_LNC001282)". The record is from RNAcentral. Lineage: Eukaryota; Viridiplantae; Streptophyta; Magnoliopsida; Sapindales; Rutaceae.